GAUGAACGCUGGCGGCGUGCCUAAUACAUGCAAGUCGAGCGAACGGACGAGAAGCUUGCUUUUCUGAUGUUAGCGGCGGACGGGUGAGUAACACGUGGAUAACCUACCUAUAAGACUGGGAUAACUUCGGGAAACCGGAGCUAAUACCGGAUAAUAUUUUGAACCGCAUGGUUCAAAAGUGAAAGACGGUCUUGCUGUCACUUAUAGAUGGAUCCGCGCUGCAUUAGCUAGUUGGUAAGGUAACGGCUUACCAAGGCAACGAUGCAUAGCCGACCUGAGAGAGUGAUCGGCCACACUGGAGCUGAGACACGGUCCAGGCUCCUACGGGAGGCAGCAGUAGGGAAUCUUCCGCAAUGGGCGAAAGCCUGACGGAGCAACGCCGCGUGAGUGAUGAAGGUCUUCGGAUCGUAAAACCCUGUUAUUAGGGAAGAACAUAUGUGUAAGUAACUGUGCACAUCUUGACGGUACCUAAUCAGAAAGCCACGGCUAACUACGUG
This 497-nucleotide ribosomal RNA is filed under the name uncultured bacterium. Its description in RNAcentral is "partial 16S ribosomal RNA". It matches the Rfam family "Bacterial small subunit ribosomal RNA", at positions 28 to 507 of the family's 1533-position model. The record is from RNAcentral.